ACUUAAAACCCUUUUCAAUCUCAAAUUUAAACGCUAUUCUGCAGCAGCAAUAGCUUUAAAAACUAUUUCAUCUUCUUCCCAACUCUUCACGCCAAAAUCCCCCUCCCCUUUUAACUUCGAUUUGGACAAAGCGAAGAAAACUAUGCCGACGGCGCGCCUCUGCUGGUGAAGAACGUGUAUGGUGGGUGUGGGGAAUUGCUGAACGUGGGUGGAAACCGUUGCCAUGUCGUGGGCAGUUGCUGCGGCACCGAUUUGCUUCAAUCUGCUUAGGGUUUCUGCUAUACCCUAUGUUCUUUUGGGCUAACAGGCUAGGGCUAGCAAUUUGGGCCUUUUUAGGCCGAAUUUGGGUUGUAAUAUGGACUCCCACUUAGUUUUAUUUCAAAUUGGGUUUUAAUGGGCCCGGGCAAAAUUGGGUAUUA
Molecule: long non-coding RNA, 419 nt
Organism: Gossypium raimondii (Peruvian cotton)
Lineage: Eukaryota; Viridiplantae; Streptophyta; Magnoliopsida; Malvales; Malvaceae
Exons: 2
Source: RefSeq, a predicted model, not a curated record